UACGGAGGGUGCAAGCGUUAUCCGGAUUCACUGGGUUUAAAGGGUGCGUAGGUGGGUUGGUAAGUCAGUGGUGAAAUCUCCGUGCUUAGCAUGGAAACUGCCAUUGAUACUACUGAUCUUGAAUUUUCAGGAGGUAAGCGGAAUAUGUCAUGUAGCGGUGAAAUGCUUAGAUAUGACAUAGAACACCAAUUGCGAAGGCAGCUUACUACAGGAAUAUUGACACUGAUGCACGAAAGCGUGGGGAUCAAACAGG
RNAcentral lists this ribosomal RNA (253 nucleotides) under uncultured bacterium. RNAcentral describes it as "partial 16S ribosomal RNA". It matches the Rfam family "Bacterial small subunit ribosomal RNA", at positions 524 to 776 of the family's 1533-position model. The record is from RNAcentral.